Molecule: ribosomal RNA, 465 nt
Filed under: uncultured bacterium
Lineage: Bacteria
Description: partial 16S ribosomal RNA
Rfam family: Bacterial small subunit ribosomal RNA
Source: RNAcentral
AAUGAACGUUGGCGGCGUGGAUUAGGCAUGCAAGUCGAGCGAGAACCCCGCAAGGGGGGACAGCGGCGAAAGGGACAGUAAUGUGUAGAUUAUCUGCCCUCAGGUCCGGGAUAGCUGCGGGAAACUGCAGGUAAUACCGGAUAACAUCUCCGGAUCAAAGGUGUGAUUCCGCCUGAGGAUGAGUCUGCAUCCUAUUAGCUAGUUGGUGGGGUAAUGGCCUACCAAGGCAUUGAUGGGUAGCAGGUGUGAGAGCACGACCUGCGUCAUUGGGACUGAGACACUGCCCAGACACCUACGGGUGGCUGCAGUCGAGAAUCUUCGGCAAUGGGCGCAAGCCUGACCGAGCGACGCCGCGUGUGGGAUGAAGGCCUUCGGGUUGUAAACCACUGUCAGAGGGGAUGAAAUGCAGGUGGGUUCUCCCAUCUGUUUGACAUAGCCUCAGAGGAAGAACGGGCUAAGUUCGUG